This is a long non-coding RNA of Colletes gigas, 372 nucleotides long. RefSeq lists it as uncharacterized. The transcript is spliced from 3 exons. The record is from RefSeq and is a predicted model, not a curated record. NCBI's taxonomy places the organism in Eukaryota, Metazoa, Arthropoda, Insecta, Hymenoptera, Colletidae.
AAUUAACGCAGUAAGAUUUAUCGCGACGUCUAGAUUUGUUUCGCGACCGAGUCUUUCAUUGGAAUUCAAAGUUAAGGAAUUACUUCCUAACUCAGACAGCAGAGCUCGCCACCAAUUCGUGAACGACAUUCGUGCUGCGUUAGUUGAAACAGUAAGACGUGUCGAGACAUGUCUGGACAUGUUCAGACCUGUCGAGACAUGUCUAAACCUGCCGGCGUUUCGUAACCAACGUAAUCUCUUUGAUUGGAAUACGACGCCAUGGAAUUGGCGCGUAAACGACACCAUAGAUGGCAGAUAACUCGACUUCCGCCUAUUAUAAUAUUGGCGCGUAGACGUUACCAUGGUAGAUGGCAGAUAACUCGACAUUCGAAG